Molecule: ribosomal RNA, 253 nt
Filed under: uncultured bacterium
Lineage: Bacteria
Description: partial 16S ribosomal RNA
Rfam family: Bacterial small subunit ribosomal RNA
Source: RNAcentral
UACGUAGGGUCCGAGCGUUGUCCGGAAUUAUUGGGCGUAAAGGGCUCGUAGGCGGUUUGUCGCGUCGGGAGUGAAAACACGGGGCUUAACCCCGUGCCUGCUUCCGAUACGGGCAGACUAGAGGUAUGCAGGGGAGAACGGAAUUCCUGGUGUAGCGGUGAAAUGCGCAGAUAUCAGGAGGAACACCGGUGGCGAAGGCGGUUCUCUGGAACGCAACUGACGCUGAGACGCGAAAGCGUGGGGAGCAAACAGG